GGGGAUAAAUUAAUAAAAUAUAAUUAAUAAAAAAAUUUUUAAUAUUGGGGGGUAUUAAAGUAUUUUUUAAAGAAAAAAUAAAAAGUUUUAUAGUGAAUUAGUAUUGUAAAAUAAAUUUGAAAUAAAAUUGAAAAUGAAAUAAAGAAAAAGUAAAUUUAAUUUAUUGUAUCUUGUGUAUCAGAGUUUAUUUAAAAAUAUUUAGUAAAUAAUAAAAUCUCGAAUUUAAAAGAGUUAAUUAAUUAUAAAAGUUAAUGUUGAAUAAUUAUUUUAAAUAAUUAAUUUGAAAUGAAAUGUUAAUCGUUUUUAAAUAUAUCUAGUUUUUUUAGAAAAAAAUUUAAUUUUGAAUUUAAAAAAUUUUUUAUUUAAUUAAUUAAAUAAAAAAUUUUAAAAUUAAAUAUUUUAAGGGAUAAGCUUUAAUUUAUAUAUUUAUAAUAAAAAUAAUUUUAUUAAAAUUUUUAAAAUUUAUAUUGUUUAAAAAUUAUAAUUUGUUAAAAAAAAUUUUAUAGUAAAUAAAAUUUAAUAAUCAUAUUUAAUUUUUUAUAAAAAAAUAUUUUUUAAUAAGAAAAUUAUAGAAAUAAUGAUAAAAUUAGUAUAUUAUUAAUUAAAAAUUUAAAUAUAAAUUAAAAUUAAUUUAAAGGAAUUCGGCAAAAUUUUAUAUUCACUUGUUUAUCAAAAACAUGUCUUUUAGGAAAUAAUUUAAAGUCUAAUCUGCCCACUGAUUAAAGAAAAAUUAAAGGGCUGCAGUAUAUUGACUGUACAAAGGUAGCAUAAUCAUUAGUCUCUUAAUUGGAGACUUGUAUGAAAGAUUUGAUGAAAUAUAAACUGUCUCUAAAUUAUUAAUAAAAAUUAAUUUUUUAGUUAAAAAGCUAAAAUUUAUUUAAAAGACGAGAAGACCCUAUAGAGUUUUAUAAUAAUAAUAAUUAAAAUUAAAUAUUUAAUUAUAAAUUAAAAUUAUUAUUAUUAUUUUGUUGGGGUGAUAGAAAAAUUAAAAAAACUUUUUUUAAUUAAAAUCAUAAAUAAGUGAGUUAUUGAUCCAUAUUAAUAAUGAUUAUAAGAAAAAAUUCACCUUAGGGAUAACAGCGUAAUUUUUUUUUUUAGUACAAAUAAAAAAAAAAGGUUGCGACCUCGAUGUUGGAUUAAGAUAAAAAUUAAAUGCAAAAGUUUAAAAUUUUGAUCUGUUCGAUCAUUAAAAUCUUACAUGAUCUGAGUUCAAACCGGUGUGAGCCAGGUUGGUUUCUAUCUUUAAAAAAUUAAAAUAUUUUAGUACGAAAGGAUCAAGUAUUUUAAAUAAUUUAAAAAAAAAUGAAUAUUAAUAAAAUUAUUUAACU
This 1328-nucleotide ribosomal RNA is filed under the name Argynnis sagana. RNAcentral describes it as "Damora sagana 16S ribosomal RNA". Lineage: Eukaryota; Metazoa; Arthropoda; Insecta; Lepidoptera; Nymphalidae. The record is from RNAcentral.